AUUUUGGGAGCAUAGGGGAAGCUCACAUGCUCCUUCCUGCUGUCUCAACUUUCCACAGGGCGCUAGGGCAUGGCUCCUGUUUCUAACACCGUGACUCCUGUCCUCCUUCUCUGAAAAAUUCUGAACCAGGAGACAUCAGAGUCUGGGGACACCUCCAUGUGGCACAGAAGAGGCAGACACCAGGGAGCCACCCCCCCGGUGCCCCCUUCAGAUCCCUUGCACUGCUUGUCUCCUGCCUCAGGGAUAAACUGAACUGAAAGUAACUGUGACCCAAGUCCCAGCUGUCACUGGCACCCCGAGACUCCCAGGUCUGGCUCGAGCAGCAUCUAAACGGAAGCAAAUGGAUCUUGGUUCAAUGAAUGCCACAGAACACCUGCCUUUGAAUCUCCCACGACAGAGGGCUAUCUUGACUAGCCUGCCGUACAACUCGUCUCUCUCAAAUGACAGCUCAGAUAUGCUGUUCUUCACGUUCCUUGGUACCCCUUCGAUGGGAAGGAGAGAGUUGAGUUCAAAUUUCCCUUCCUGCUUGCUUGUGUAACCUUGGGCAAGUUACCUAUCAUCUCUAAGCCUUGUUUGUAAAAGAAGAACAUCCACCUAGGUGGGUUAUUGUGAGGACAAAAUGAGAUAAUAUAGAUGUGAGGCUUUGCCCAGUGCCUGGCAUGUAGUAAAUGCUCAAUAAACAGUAGUGGUAGUAGUGUUCACAUUCUGACAGCUGUUUUCACAGGACGAUUGCAAAACAUUUGCAUCAGAACCUCUCCCUAUUCAAAUCAGCCAAGCCAGCGUCCUACUGUAGUCUGGAAAACGGUGAGGAAGGAGAAGGGGGACUAACACUUGUUAAUCCUUAUCAUCUGGUGAUAGAAAAUAAUCAUCAUUCUAAACUCACUUGAGAAAUGAGGAAACUGAGCCUCUAACUUGCCUACAGUCCCUCAGGUUGGUCGGCAUCUAAAGCCAACGCCCUUCCCACCUAAAAACGCCCAAGAUCUCCGUCAGCAAAAGCCCUCUGCCCACCUGCGGGAGGGGCAGGCUCCCACCCACCACAGGGAAGACAGCCAACUCCGUCUAACUAGAACAGCUGAAAUCGAAGAGGGACACGCACCUCCCCAAGUGAGCUGGGAUCACAGCUCGUGUUCCAGAUACGACAGGGAUGACCUUACACAGGGGGUCCCGGAGGGCUCUUGGGGAGGGGAGCAGCAAACGCCCUGUGAGCUGGCCUGAAGGGAAAUGGAGCAGCCUUGGAGGCUCUCUCUAGAGAGAACUCAGCAGAAUUACCAGUCUCCGUCCUCCACACCCAAAAAUCCAGAUUCCUCACAAGGUCUUAAUUCUGGCAAUCCAUGCAAUUUGUUUCCCCUGGUUGACUGCAGGCUGCUCUGAUAUUUUCCUCUCUGAAGUCUCUCUAUACUUAGGCAGCCAGUUGGAAUGACCUUUUCCUGGGCUCCAUCAGGUCACCGUGCACUAGUUUAUAUAAUGCAUAUGCUACAUCACAACUCUCUUCCACCUGACUCUUCAAAUAGGCCUUAAGACCUGCGCUCCGCAUUUUCUGAAUUCUCUCCACUGCCCCCACAGUAAGCCUAGAAACAUACUGGAUCUUGAUAAAUGCUUGUGGAGUGAAAAAAUAAGUAAGGUCACAAAUCUUAGGAGAGUCUUUAGAUAAGGGUUUUGUCUAGAGUUCUAUCUACACAGAAACAAAAUAUUAAAUAAACGACAAAAUUUUGUGUUUAGUUUACAAAAAUGAGCGAAUGAAAGUGAAAUGCUAAAGGAAAAAAAUUAAUUUUCACUGCAAAGAGAUAAUGUGCUUCCAGCUCAUUUCCAGCCAGUGGGGGCUGAGUCAUGGGGAGGCUGUCAACCACCUUUCUGAGAAGCUCUCGAGGCACAUGUGUCAUUGGAGGGAACAGAUGGGACCUACCAUCAGAUGAAGGGGGCGCCUGUGACUACUGGCAUGCACUGUUUUGCCAAUGUUCCCCCUCCUUUUGGAGGAUUCACCUUCAUUCUCACCCACUUCCUUAAAUGUUUACCUUUAUAUUUGCCAACUGUUUGAUUUGGUGUUUCAACUGUUCUGACCAUCUGCUGGGAGAAAACUUCUGGAUUAUGUCACAGUUUUGGGAACAACUCAUACAGUUUUGGAGUUGGAGGAUAACUUAGAAAUCAGCAAGUCUGACUCCUUCGUUCCUCUGUGCACAACGCUUCUUCAAGGCUGUGUGUCAGCCCCA
This 2207-nucleotide long non-coding RNA is filed under the name Equus asinus (donkey). RNAcentral's name for it is "lncRNA (ENSEASG00005027258.1)". The record is from RNAcentral. Lineage: Eukaryota; Metazoa; Chordata; Mammalia; Perissodactyla; Equidae.